UCGAGAAUUUUUCUCAAUGGGCGAAAGCCUGAAGGAGCGACGCCGCGUGGAGGAUGAAGGUCUUCGGAUUGUAAACUCCUGUCAUUCGAGAACAAGGCCUGCGGAGUAACUGCCGUCAGGCUCGAUAGUAUCGAAAGAGGAAGGGACGGCUAACUCUGUGCCAGCAGCCGCGGUAAUACAGAGGUCCCAAGCGUUGUUCGGAUUCAUUGGGCGUAAAGGGUGCGUAGGUGGCAUGGUAAGUCGGGUGUGAAAUCCCGGGGCUCAACCCCGGAACUGCACUCGAUACUGCCGUGCUCGAGUACUGGAGAGGAGACUGGAAUUUACGGUGUAGCAGUGAAAUGCGUAGAUAUCGUAAGGAAGACCGGUGGCGAAGGCUAGUCUCUGGACAGUUACUGACACUGAGGCACGAAGGCCAGGGGAGCAAACGG
This 428-nucleotide ribosomal RNA is filed under the name uncultured bacterium. Its description in RNAcentral is "bacterial SSU rRNA". It matches the Rfam family "Bacterial small subunit ribosomal RNA", at positions 355 to 775 of the family's 1533-position model. The record is from RNAcentral.